UUUCACCGGGCUAAGACAAAAUUAGUUUUUUUUUUUUUUUUAAAAGGGGGAAUAACAGAAUAUCAAUAAAGUUUUGGGGCUGAGUCAGCUGAGAGUUUAUCCAGUUCGAUGUUAAUGGAUGCUCACGCGCCUAGAUUUGAACUUCUUGGUUGACGGUUUUAAAUGAGUCGGCAAAUAGAUCAAUCAGAGAGAUAUCAUCAUCGUCCCCUCCUCUUCCUGCUUUCAAAUUUUCCUUCUUCUCCAUCCUUAACGCCAAGUUACAUCGCUCGUUUGUCAAGUCGGUGAACUAGCUUAGUUCGUGCUUGUAGGUUCGCACGGACAGAGUUCUGUUUGUUGACAAGCCUGAGAUUGUUCUCGAAUAUCUUGAACCGAAGCUCCUUCUGCGUUGAGUUUACUGCAGUUCUUCCCCGCGCUUGAUCAACCAAUGCUCGUACACUUCCAUCAUGUGCGCCUUAAUCUGCGAUGAUUUCGUAGGAUCAUCGAUGAUGGAAAUGGAGGUCAAUCGAUAAAGAGAAGAACAUGAACAGGAUCACAUUUCGUCGCCACGAUAGACCGAUAGAUCUUUGCUUAGGUCGCAGAUCUACCUCUUCCUUUGAAAUGUGUUUCGCACGUAUCCAUUCAUCACAAGACUGCCUGCGUUCUUAUUAGGUUGGAUUGUUCACCGGGAGGAAGAAGCUUAUUAGGCAAAAACAUACAGAUGUCUGGGCAGUCUUAAGUAGAGAGAUGAUCUGAAGGUAAAUUUUCUUUUCCGGGAAAAUCGCAGAAGAGGAAGGCAGGGCUCCAUCUUUUAUAGUUGAUACAUGAUGGAAUAAGUGUUUGAUUUUUGUUUU
Non-coding RNA from Carica papaya (papaya), 830 nucleotides. The record is from RefSeq and is a predicted model, not a curated record. Lineage: Eukaryota; Viridiplantae; Streptophyta; Magnoliopsida; Brassicales; Caricaceae.